UACGAAGGGGGCUAGCGUUGUUCGGAUUUACUGGGCGUAAAGCGCACGUAGGCGGAUCGUUAAGUCGGGGGUGAAAUCCUGGAGCUCAACUCCAGAACUGCCUUCGAUACUGGCGAUCUUGAGUCCGGAAGAGGUGAGUGGAAUUCCUGGUGUAGCGGUGAAAUGCGUAGAUAUCAGGAGGAACACCGGUGGUGUAGACGGCUCUCUGGACCGUAACUGACGCUGAGACACGAAAGCGUGGGUAGCAAACAGG
Molecule: ribosomal RNA, 253 nt
Filed under: uncultured bacterium
Lineage: Bacteria
Description: partial 16S ribosomal RNA
Rfam family: Bacterial small subunit ribosomal RNA
Source: RNAcentral